GACGAACGCUGGCGGCGUGCUUAACACAUGCAAGUCGAACGGAAAGGCCCUGCUUUUGUGGGGUGCUCGAGUGGCGAAAGGGUGAGUAACACGUGAGUAACCUGCCCUUGACUUUGGGAUAACUUCAGGAAACUGGGGCUAAUACCGGAUAGGAGCUCCUGCUGCAUGGUGGGGGUUGGAAAGUUUCGGCGGUUGGGGAUGGACGCGCGGCUUAUCAGCUUGUUGGUGGGGUAGUGGCGUACCAAGGCUUUGACGGGUAGCCGGCCUGAGAGGGUGACCGGCCACAUUGGGACUGAGAUACGGCCCAGACUGCUACUGGAGGCAUCAGUGGGGAAUAGUGCACAAUGGGCGGAAGCCUGAUGCAGCAUCUCCGCGUGCGGGAUGACUGCCUUCGGGUUGUAAACCGCUUGCGCCUGUGACGAAGCGUGAGUGACGGUAAUGGGUAAAGAAGCACCGGCUAACUACGUG
This 468-nucleotide ribosomal RNA is filed under the name uncultured bacterium. RNAcentral's name for it is "partial 16S ribosomal RNA". It matches the Rfam family "Bacterial small subunit ribosomal RNA", at positions 28 to 507 of the family's 1533-position model. The record is from RNAcentral.